CAGUAGCCACGGGAACACGAAGGGUGCAAGCGUUACUCGGAAUUACUGGGCGUAAAGCGUGCGUAGGUGGUUUGUUAAGUCUGUUGUGAAAUCCCCGGGCUCAACCUGGGAAUGGCAAUGGAUACUGGCAAGCUAGAGUGUGUCAGAGGAUGGUGGAAUUCCCGGUGCAGCGGUGAAAUGCGUAGAGAUCGGGAGGAACAUCAGUGGCGAAGGCGGCCAUCUGGGACAACACUGACGCUGAGGCACGAAAGCGUGGGGAGCAAACAGGAUUAGAGACCCGCGUAGUCCCUGUCUCUUAUAC
This 301-nucleotide ribosomal RNA is filed under the name uncultured bacterium. RNAcentral's name for it is "partial 16S ribosomal RNA". It matches the Rfam family "Bacterial small subunit ribosomal RNA", at positions 509 to 807 of the family's 1533-position model. The record is from RNAcentral.